RNAcentral lists this ribosomal RNA (224 nucleotides) under uncultured soil bacterium. Its description in RNAcentral is "partial 16S ribosomal RNA". It matches the Rfam family "Bacterial small subunit ribosomal RNA", at positions 26 to 250 of the family's 1533-position model. The record is from RNAcentral.
AGAUUGAACGCUGGCGGCAGGCCUAACACGUGCAAGUCGAGCGGCAGCACGGGUACUUGUACCUGGUGGCGAGCGGCGGACGGGUGAGUAAUGCCUAGGAAUCUGCCUGGUAGUGGGGGAUAACGCUCGGAAACGGACGCUAAUACCGCAUACGUCCUACGGGAGAAAGCAGGGGACCUUCGGGCCUUGCGCUAUCAGAUGAGCCUAGGUCGGAUUAGCUAGUU